AAAUGGACUCUCAGCAACGGAUAUCUUGGCUCUUGCAACGAUGAAGAAMCGCAA
This 54-nucleotide ribosomal RNA is filed under the name Frullania rostrata. RNAcentral describes it as "partial 5.8S ribosomal RNA". Lineage: Eukaryota; Viridiplantae; Streptophyta; Jungermanniopsida; Porellales; Frullaniaceae. The record is from RNAcentral.